Molecule: long non-coding RNA, 798 nt
Organism: Leopardus geoffroyi (Geoffroy's cat)
Lineage: Eukaryota; Metazoa; Chordata; Mammalia; Carnivora; Felidae
Exons: 4
Source: RefSeq, a predicted model, not a curated record
CGGCGCGCGCGGAUUGGGCGCCUGGGGCUGUGCGGGACGCCGGCGGCUGCUCUCCCUCCAGCGCCCCGACGCUGCCCCUAUUCCCGCCCACUCACGGAGAGGGAAACUGAGGCGCGCCGCAGUUGCCACGUUGGAGGGGACCAAACAGCAAGGAACCGAAUGCUGCCAGCAUCUAGUGAGUGAGCUUAGACGCAAAUCAUUCCCCAGCCAGCCUGCGAAUGAGACCACAGCCCAGGCCGACAGCCUAUGAGAGACCCUGAGCUGGAGGAGGCCACGCCCAGACUCCUGCCCCACAACAACCGGGCCACAGCAAUGUGCUCAAGCUGACAGCACUGUCCUCAACAGCAGCCCUACACAGUAUUGAGUGCCACAUUCUCCAAAGCAGGACUGCGACCUAAGGCUGAGGCCAGCUCGGCAAAGGCAGCCCUUUUCUAAGCAACUAACCUGAGUCUGGUGGUUUACUUUCCCGACAUGAUGGCAGAAGGUAAGGCCCCGUGCUUUAAGCAGUUCAGAACGGUGAUGGGAACAGGGGCUCUGGAUCCAGACCGCCUGGGGUCAGGAUCCGGAUUUUCUCCCCAGGAGAGCAGCCUUCAAAUGCUGUAUCCCAGGCACGUGGGGCUCGUCCCUGACUCACCGCCAACCUUUCCACUCUACACCCACCCGCAUCCUAUAGUAACUCCGGAUGCCAGCCCGUCGUCACCUCACCAGGCCUUGCUCGUGCACGUCUGCCUCGCUCACGUAGUAAGACUUGCUCGAAGCAUUGACUGCUUUAUUGUUUUAAAGUGUUUAAAAGUUUAU